This is a long non-coding RNA of Solanum tuberosum (potato), 221 nucleotides long. RefSeq lists it as uncharacterized. The record is from RefSeq and is a predicted model, not a curated record. The transcript is spliced from 2 exons. NCBI's taxonomy places the organism in Eukaryota, Viridiplantae, Streptophyta, Magnoliopsida, Solanales, Solanaceae.
CCAUAGUUGGCACAGAUAAAAAGAAGUGGCUAUGAUUGAAAAAACUACGAGAUUUUUCUUUUCUUUCAAAAGGAGGAAAAUUUCAUAAUUUUUAAGGAAAUUGAGGUCAAGUAUCGACUUCAACAUGCUCAACUUUUGUAUUGAUGAUUUCAUAAAGAUUUAUUGCAAAUUUGCUGGAGAUUUUAAUUAUAUUUGAAUUAGGAGUUAAUUAGUUGGUUUUA